UACGUAGGGACCAAGCGUUGUUCGGAAUUAUUGGGCGUAAAGCGCACGUAGGCGGCUCUGCAAGUCGGAUGUGAAAUCCCUCGGCUCAACCAAGGAAGUGCAUCCGAAACUGCGGAGCUUGAGUACUUAAGAGGAUCGCGGAAUUCCCGGUGUAGAGGUGAAAUUCGUAGAUAUCGGGAGGAACACCAGUGGCGAAGGCGGCGAUCUGGGAAGAUACUGACGCUGAGGUGCGAAAGCGUGGGGAGCAAACAGG
Molecule: ribosomal RNA, 253 nt
Filed under: uncultured bacterium
Lineage: Bacteria
Description: partial 16S ribosomal RNA
Rfam family: Bacterial small subunit ribosomal RNA
Source: RNAcentral